AAAAAAGGCAGAGCCUCCAUCUCUUUCGGCCCUCCGAGCUCCGGCGCCAAACUCAACCCCCUCUUUCCGAUUUAGACCCGGCGAUGGCGCAGGUAAGUCCUCGUCCUUCCCUUUUUAUUAUUUAUUUCUUAUGUAGAAGAUAAAAUAAAAAUAAAAAUAAAAUGAAACAAACAGAAACGUGAAUAAAAAAAAUCACCUUCAAAAGUCUGUUUUGUUUUUUUUAUUUCAAUAAUCGUAAAAGCAAAGGAAUAAGAAGUUCUUCCUUACAGUAGAUUCGGUUUUAAUCGAAAGAAAAGAAAAAUAAAAGUGAAAAAAAAAUUUCCCCCUAUUACAGUGAUUUCGCCCCCUCUACAUUUUACAAUAUACUAGGCUUUAUAGCCGAAAGAAAAAAUGAAAAAUCGAGGGAAAAUCUCCUCUUUUGCUACUGUUUUCCUAGUCUGCUUCCAUUUCUCUCUUUUGUUGCUUGUUUGCAGGUACACGGCAAGGUCAACUUGCCAUUUCGGUGAAAGGAGGGCUGGCGGUGGUAGACAUCGGGCGUGGUGCGCGCUGAAGGCGCACAUGGGGUAGCAACGGCGCGAGGAGCGCCAGAAACCCUAGGGUUUCUGGCCAUUCCAAAAUUUUUUAAGGUUUUGGGCCACCGGGCUUUGUUUUUGUAAUUGGGCUUAAUUUAGUUUGUUGGGCUGGAGCAAAUUUGGGCUUUGUACAG
RNAcentral lists this long non-coding RNA (706 nucleotides) under Gossypium barbadense (sea-island cotton). RNAcentral describes it as "long non-coding RNA (GBAR_LNC022567)". The record is from RNAcentral. Lineage: Eukaryota; Viridiplantae; Streptophyta; Magnoliopsida; Malvales; Malvaceae.